AUUCCAGCUCCAAUAGCGUAUAUUAAAGUUGUUGCAGUUAAAAAGCUCGUAGUCGGAUUUCUGGUUCUGGGGGGUGGUCCGCCGAAAGGUGUGCACUGCUCGCCGGAGCCUUUUCUCUCGACGUCUGCGUGUGCUCUUAACUGAGUGUGCGUGUGGCUCGAGACCUUUACUUUGAAAAAAUUAGAGUGUUCAAAGCAGGCCUUCGCUUGAAUACAUUAGCAUGGAAUAAUGGAAUAGGACUUUGGCUCUAUUUUGUUGGUUCUAGGACCGAAGUAAUGAUUAAUAGGGAUGGUUGGGGGCAUUAGUAUUUAAUUGUCAGAGGUGAAAUUCUUAGAUUUAUGAAAGACUAACUACUGCGAAAGCAUUUGCCAAGGAUGUUUUCAUUA
RNAcentral lists this ribosomal RNA (386 nucleotides) under Choanoflagellata sp. Its description in RNAcentral is "partial small subunit ribosomal RNA". It matches the Rfam family "Eukaryotic small subunit ribosomal RNA", at positions 582 to 975 of the family's 1831-position model. Lineage: Eukaryota; Choanoflagellata. The record is from RNAcentral.